This 1199-nucleotide long non-coding RNA is filed under the name Zonotrichia albicollis (white-throated sparrow). Its description in RNAcentral is "lncRNA (ENSZALG00000001093.1)". The record is from RNAcentral. Lineage: Eukaryota; Metazoa; Chordata; Aves; Passeriformes; Passerellidae.
UUUGGGGUUCCCCAUUUUUGGGGUUCAGGUUUUUGGGGUUCCCCAUUUUUGGGUUCCCCUGAUUCUGGGGUUCAGGUUUUUGGGGUUCCCCAUUUUUGGCGUUCAGUUUUUUUGGGGUUCCCCAUUUUUGGGGUUCAGGUUUUUGUGGGUCCCUGGUUUUUCGGGGUUCAGGUAUUUGGGCUUCCCAGUUUUUGGGGUUCAGGUUUUUGGGGUCCCCUGGUUUUUUGGGGUUCCCCAUUUUUGGGGCUCCCUGAUUUUGGGGAUCCCCAUUUUUGGGGUUCCCCUGAUUUUGGGGUUCAGGUUUUUGGGGUUCCCCAUUUUUGGGGUUCAGGUUUUUUGGGUUCCUGUUUUUUUGGGGUUCCCCAUUUUUGGGGUUCAGGUAUUUGGGGUUCCCCAUUUUUGGGUUCCCCUGAUUCUGGGGUUCAGUUUUUUGGGGUUCCCCAUUUUUGGGGUUCAGGUGUUUGGGGUUCCCCAUUUUUGGGGUUCAGUUUUUUUUUUGGAUCCCCAUUUUUAGGGUUCCCCAUUUUUGGGGUUCCCCUGAUUUUGGGGUUCAGGUUUUUGGGUUCCCCCAUUUUGGGGUUCAGGUUUUUGGGUCCCUGUUUUUUUGGGGUUCCCCGUUUUUGGGGUUCCCCAUUUUGGGGUUCAGGUUUUUGGGCUUCCCUGAUUUUUGGGUCCAGUUUUUUGGAAUUCCCUGAUUUUGGGGUUCCCGUGGUUUUUGAGGUUGUUUUUGGGGUUCAGGUUUUUGUGGGUCCCCCAUUUUGGGGUUCAGGUUUUUGGGGUUCCCCAUUUUUGGGGUUCAGGUUUUUGGGUCCCUGGUUUUAUUUGGGGUUCCCUGUUUUUGGGGUUCCCCAUUUUGGGUUCCCUGAUUUUGGGGUUAAGUUUUUUUGGUUUCAGGUUUUUGGAGAUUUCCCAUUUUGGGGUUCCCAGUUGUUGGGGUUCCCGUUUUUGGGGUUCCCGUGGUUUUUGGGGUUCCCCAUUUUUGGGGGUUUCCCAUUUUCGGGGUUCAGUUUUUCGGGGUUCCCCAUUUUGGGGUUCAGGUUUUUGGGUCCCUGUUUUUUUGUGGUUCCCCAUUUUUGGGUUCCCCUGAUUCUGGGGUUCAGAUUUUUGGGGUUCCCCAUUUUUGGCGUUCAGUUUUUUGGGGUUCCCAUUUUGGGGUUCCCCAUUUUUGGGGUUCCCAGGGGUUUUGGGGUUCAGGUAUU